CCUCUCUCUCGAUCUCUCAGAAGAAACAAUAUCGAAGAUAAACUCAUUUCUCUUCUUCUUCUUCGUUGUUCUUCGUUUUCUUUCUUCUGAACUUCUUCUUUUUCGUUGUUCUUCGAUUUUUUUCUUCUUAAAAGAAUGAACUGAGAAAUCGUUCAUAUCAAUUAAGAAGAAAUCUGGAGAAGUAAAUGAAUCAGGAAGGUUUUACUGAGGUUGUGAAUUUGGUUUUGGUUAGGGUUAUUAUUGAUUGAAGAACGACGAAUCAGUAAGAAAUAGAGUUAGGGUUUCUGCAGUUAGUAUUGAGUUUGUGCAAAAUAGAAGGUGGAAUCGGUGGAUUGAAUAACAUAAGGAGGAGACGGUAGAGUUGUAUUAACUCGGGUUACAGAGGAUAGGGUAAAUCAGGAAGAGGAAGUUAGGGUUUGGAAAUUGAUUUAAGGUUCAAUUAGUGAUAUAUGGGAAGAAAUCAAAGACUGGUUUUGGUGAUUUGAGAAGUGAAUCGAUAUUUUGAAAUGAUGGUUCUGAGUAUAGAUGAUGGUGAGUGAAGAUGAAACCGAUGGUUAAGGUUUGGAAUUUGAUUUGAAGGUUACGAUAAAAUUGAGAAAAAGUUAAGUAAAGGAGGCUUUGGUCAAGUAUAUGUUGGUAGAAGGGUUUCAGGUGGAAGUAGGACUUCUUGUCCAACUGUUGUAGAGGUCUCGUGCGAUGGAAAGUAUAAUAAUCAAACUGCUCAUGGGAAAUCCUACUUUCUGUCAUGUCGAACCAGAAUGGAAGCCAAGUAGUUCAAAAACUUUGCAAACAUGUACAAAAUAUGUACUUGGGGGAUCUAUACGAAAUAGCAGUCAUAAACUGCGAAUCAUCAAACACUAGGUCGUGUCCCUUUAUGUUAAAGUCUAAACAUAAUAUCUCAGUUCAAAAAUUCUAGUUAGUUUCCUCUGAUAUGGCAAGUAUUUGAUCUGUUAUUGUUUUGUGUACUUUGCAGGAAUUUUGUGGUGCAACAUGUACUAGAGCGCCAUCCUAAUACUGCCAACCUUAUAUGCAAUAACCUUAGGGGACACUUAUUUCGAAUUUCUAAGGAUAAGUAUGGCAGUAAUGUUGUAGAAAAAUGUAUCAAAUCGAAUGCUACCGAUGUUGUAGUUUCGCAACUCUUCUGUGAUUGUAAUCAACAUGUUGAACUCGCUCAAGAUAAGUUUGGAAACUAUGUCGUCCAGAAAGCCCUUAAGCUUAGUAAGGGAAAGGCAUUACGCCAGCUAGUUGACACCCUUCGCAAAUGUUCGGGCGAUCGCAAGAAUCAUCCAAAUGGGAGGAAUGUGCAUAACUUGAUUAAAAGGAGAAUUGUUGUUGUACGAGAAUGAUUUAAGUUGUUGUACGAGAAUGAUUUAAGGUACUGUUGUGUAGUCUGGAGCCGUUAUGCCCAUUAUGCAGAAACACUUAUGAUGUAGACAAGAUGAUGGAUGAGAUUAAUGAGCAGACUGAGAACAUGAAGCAGGUUCAUGAAGCUUUUCAAACCCCUUUAGAGCAGCUGCCGACUUUGAUGAGGAAGAAUUGGAAUCUGAACUUGAGGAGUUGGAAGAGGCUGAAUUGGAGGAACAAGUUCUACAACCUGUAGCCCAAACUCAAGUUCAUAUAACGAUGCAUGGAAGGAAUUGCUUGAUGCAGCGGAGUGAUCAAAGCUUAAUCAAUUGAUGAAAGCUUAAGGGAUUGAAUGGUUGGCUUCGUUGGUGUUUAUGCAGCAACUAAAGCAAUCGAUAACCACAAGGAUAAACUGGUAGUAAAGAAGGCACCAAGAGCAGUGAGUAUUAACUUUCUUGAAUCAAUCUUAAAACCUAGUGCAGCAUAUAUUGUAAGAUCUAUGUAACAUGUGGUUGUGUAAACACUUUUAUUCGUUUUUAUAAAACAAUUAUUGAGUAUGAAUUAUGAAACUUGAAUUUGAAUGCAAGGGAGCAAGCACGAUGAAAACUUGACCAGUAUAGAAUGAAUGUAAAAGAGUGUUUAGGUACUUACCAGAAUUUGAAGCUUAACAGAAUUUUGUUGGGUACUUACAAAAAAUUGUAUUCUUUCUUAAUAGAACUGGACGAAUGU
Long non-coding RNA from Papaver somniferum (opium poppy), 2073 nucleotides. RefSeq lists it as uncharacterized. The transcript has 8 exons. The record is from RefSeq and is a predicted model, not a curated record. Lineage: Eukaryota; Viridiplantae; Streptophyta; Magnoliopsida; Ranunculales; Papaveraceae.